This 225-nucleotide long non-coding RNA is filed under the name Elaeis guineensis (African oil palm). RNAcentral describes it as "long non-coding RNA (EGUI_LNC016120)". Lineage: Eukaryota; Viridiplantae; Streptophyta; Magnoliopsida; Arecales; Arecaceae. The record is from RNAcentral.
UCCGACUCAAUAUAUACACACAAACACACUCAAAUAUCCAACACAAAACCCUGGCCAUCUAAGCUUCUCAUAUUUAGCCACUCUGCCUCCUCUGAGCUUUCAUAUUCGACCACUCCAAGCCUCCCACCCAAUUAGGACUCCUGAAGAUGAAAAAAAAUAGAGAAAAAUUGAGGAAAAAAACUCCACCUAAGCUUCCCGAUUCGACAACUCCAAGCCUCCCAUCUG